UCUCCGUUGGUGAACCAGCGGAGGGAUCAUUACUGGAAUCGCAAGAUCCCACAACCCCUGUGAGCCUACCGAAACGUUGCCUCGGCGGGCGCCCGGCCCCUCGCCGGGCGCUGAGCCCGCCGGCGGCCCCCUCCUCUUUUCUCUUCAGCGUGGCAUCUCAGAGUCCCAGAAAACAAGUAAAAACUUUCAACAACGGAUCUCUUGGCUCUA
Molecule: unclassified non-coding RNA, 210 nt
Filed under: plant metagenome
Description: partial contains small subunit ribosomal RNA, internal transcribed spacer 1, and 5.8S ribosomal RNA
Source: RNAcentral